RNAcentral lists this unclassified non-coding RNA (383 nucleotides) under Hevea brasiliensis (rubber tree). Lineage: Eukaryota; Viridiplantae; Streptophyta; Magnoliopsida; Malpighiales; Euphorbiaceae. The record is from RNAcentral.
GAGAUGGUGAAAUUUGACAAAGUGAGGAUCCGUCGUCGGAAUCCCGGCUGUCGUGCGCCUGAUUGAUUGUAGCAAUCUCGGGCUGCAAUUGUGACGAUUUCCAACUUGCCAUCUAGAGUUAUGUUUUUUACCUUGAUAUUUGAUUUCCUCAGAAAUGGCAGCGGAGGGUUGAAACUAUCAUUGCAGGUGAUGAGGAACUCCGGGCUUAGAUUACAGCCGUCUAAGCCAAAAGGGUAUGGAAUGGUUGAAUUUCCACAACGAUCAGAGCAGUGAAGCCUAUCUUGGGCUGCUGCUGGCGCUUCAAUAGCUGAUAAUAGCACAACCACCAUAAGCAAAGCAAGGAAACCCAUGGUGUCAAGCCGCCAAGAACUGCUACAAUUUUC